UUUGAAUAAAUGCGCAGUAUUUACUAUUAUUAAUUAAUAAAAUUAGAAUUAGUAAUUUUAUUUAGAAGAAUCAAAUUUCGUGCCAGCAGUUGCGGUUAUACGAUUUCUUUAAUUUAAAUAUUUAAGUUUCAGUUAAUAUAACAAUAAUAUAAAAUAUCUAUAAUUUUGGUGAAAUAUAUUUUAUCUUUAAAAAUUAAUUUUAUGUCUGAAAAAUUUUUGUAUAAACUAGGAUUAGAUACCCUAUUAUUAAAAAUGUGAUAAAAAUAACUUGAUUAUUAUUAGAAAUGAUCUUUAAAUUCAAAGAAUUUGGCGGUAAUUUAUCUUAUCAGAGGAACCUGUUUUAUAAUUGAUAAUCCACGAUAGAAAAAACUUUAGUUUAAUUUGUAUAUCUCUGUCAAGAAUGUUUUAUAAGAAAUAUUUUCAUAUUAUNAUUAUGUAUUUAGAAUGUCAGGUCAAGGUGCAGUUUAUAUUAAAGAAAAAAUGGGUUACAAUUAAUUAUGUAUUGGAUUAUUUUCUAAAAAAUUAGAAAAUAUGAAAUUGGAUUUGAUAAUAAAUUAAUUAAAUUUAAUUAAUUGAAAUUGGCUCUAAUUUAUGUACAUAUCGCCCGUCACUCUCAUGAUAUUAAUGAGAUAAGUCGUAACAAAGUAACUGUACCGGAAGGUGUAGUUAGAAAGA
RNAcentral lists this ribosomal RNA (675 nucleotides) under Kikihia paxillulae. Its description in RNAcentral is "partial 12S ribosomal RNA". Lineage: Eukaryota; Metazoa; Arthropoda; Insecta; Hemiptera; Cicadidae. The record is from RNAcentral.